UUAUCCUUUGUUCGAGUGAACCUAUCUCAAACUUUGACUCCAAACGACCCAUCUAGACUUCUAAACUGGGUCAACCUAUCUUGACCUUCUACCUCAGCCCGUCCUUCUAGACUUUCAACAUAAGUCAACAUAUCACCUUCAAUUCAUACCAGCCGGUCUUGAACUUUGACGCAAGACACUUGUUCUCAACCUUCAUUUUGGACCAACCUUUAUCGACCUUCAAACUAGGACGACCUUUAUCUUGAGUCCACCUUCGGUCUAGAUUAAC
Molecule: long non-coding RNA, 268 nt
Filed under: Vigna radiata
Lineage: Eukaryota; Viridiplantae; Streptophyta; Magnoliopsida; Fabales; Fabaceae
Description: long non-coding RNA (VRAD_LNC005809)
Source: RNAcentral